GAUGAACGCUGGCGGCGUGCCUAAUACAUGCAAGUCGAACGAGAAUCCCUUCGGGGAGGAAAGUGGCGCACGGGUGCGUAACACGUGGAUAACCAACCCAUUGGUUUGGGACAACACCGGGAAACUGGUGCUAAUACCAGAUGUGUCGCAGCUGUCUUCAGGCGGUUGCGAGAAAGGCCCGCAAGGGUCGCCAACGGACGGGUCCGCGUCCCAUCAGCUAGUUGGUGAGGUAAUGGCUCACCAAGGCAAAGACGGGUAGCUGGUCUGAGAGGAUGAUCAGCCACACUGGAACUGAGACACGGUCCAGACUCCUACGGGAGGCAGCAGUGGGGAAUAUUGCGCAAUGGGCGAAAGCCUGACGCAGCCACGCCGCGUGAGCGAUGAAGGUCUUCGGAUCGUAAAGCUCUGUGGGGGGAGAAGAAGAAAGCCGGUGAAGAGCCGGCCCUGACGGUAUCCCCUUAGCAAGCACCGGCUAACUCCGUGCCAGCAGCCG
This 493-nucleotide ribosomal RNA is filed under the name uncultured bacterium. Its description in RNAcentral is "bacterial SSU rRNA". It matches the Rfam family "Bacterial small subunit ribosomal RNA", at positions 28 to 517 of the family's 1533-position model. The record is from RNAcentral.